GAUGAACGCUGGCGGCGUGCCUAAUACAUGCAAGUCGAGCGAACGGACGAGAAGGUUGCUUCUCUGAUGUUAGCGGCGGACGGGUGAGUAACACGUGGAGAACCUACCUAUAAGACUGGGAUAACUUCGGGAAACCGGAGCUAAUACCGGAUAAUAUUUUGAACCGCAUGGUUCAAAAGUGAAAGACGGUCUUGCUGUCACUUAUAGAUGGAUCCGCGCUGCAUUAGCUAGUUGGUAAGGUAACGGCUUACCAAGGCAACGAUGCAUAGCCGACCUGAGAGGGUGAUCGGCCACACUGGAACUGAGACACGGUCCAGACUCCUACGGGAGGCAGCAGUAGGGAAUCUUACGCAAUGGGCGAAAGCCUGACGGAGCAACGCCGCGUGAGUGAUGAAGGUCUUCGGAUCGUAAAACUCUGUUAUUAGGGAAGAACAUAUGUGUAAGUAACUGUGCACAUCUUGACGGUACCUAAUCAGAAAGCCACGGCUAACUACGUG
This 497-nucleotide ribosomal RNA is filed under the name uncultured bacterium. RNAcentral describes it as "partial 16S ribosomal RNA". It matches the Rfam family "Bacterial small subunit ribosomal RNA", at positions 28 to 507 of the family's 1533-position model. The record is from RNAcentral.